RNAcentral lists this long non-coding RNA (7648 nucleotides) under Xyrichtys novacula (pearly razorfish). The record is from RNAcentral. Lineage: Eukaryota; Metazoa; Chordata; Actinopteri; Labriformes; Labridae.
AUUGCUCUCGGUAUUUUCUCCACUUGUGCAGAAUUAUCGUACAAAUUCGGUGAAAGAGUCGCCGAGAGUCGCUGUAAUGACGCUCGACUCAAACAGCGUAUCCCCCUGGAUGAGCUACGCAAUCUUAGUACACCCAUAGGCUGUAUCAGGUGUCAAUCAUAUCAUCAACUACAUGUCACAACCAGGGGGGAGAAACAUUUAUAUUCUGUGUCAUUCAUUUAUAAAGUUUGUCCACAGCUCCAUAAGGAGGCGGGGUUUAUGACCUAUACUGCAGCCCGUCACCAGAGGGUGCUGUUCUCGGAGUGGCUUCACCCAGCGAAGAGGCAGACGGUUUCCCUCAAACCUGACCCAUCACAGAUCCAUUGUGACUUCUCGAUUUUCUGCGUUCAUCUUCGACUUCCUCCAAACUUCACUCUCUCCUAAUCGGAGCGUCAGAGUUUCAGGAGUUUCGGGGUCGGCGCUCUCCUUCUCUUUCCUACAGCGCUGCUUUUUUCAGCUGCCGUCCUUGCGUCGGGACUAAAUGCAAUUAUUUUUUGUUUUGAGAAGAUGGUGGAGCGUGAAUGUUACCCCUCCGCUGUUAGACUGAGUCACCUUGCUGACUGGGCUCUUCAGAUAUCCAAACACCCGACGGUUGGACACGCUCCCCCCAAAGUUAAAGCGAGGAUACCCGCCGUCACCGCGCCGCUAAUAACUCACAAGUGGAGUUGUUCCCCUCUCAGCGAGCCGCGACCUUUCCACAGUGUUCUCUCACUUACGCUGUACAUUAUUAAUGCUGCUUGGAUUACCGUGUGUGUGUGUGUGUGUGUGUGUGUGUGUGUGUGUGUGUGUGUGUGUGUGUGUGUGUGUGUGUGUGUGAGGCCCUCCAUUUUUACAGGGUUGAUUUUAAUAUGUAUGAAUACAGCGGUGAGAAUCUUUCCCGUUAUCAGCCUCAACAUCGCUCACCAUCACGCCGCCUCCCUCCACAGGCCGGCCCACAUUAGGCCGCAAUCUUUGAUAGAGACAGCGAGUCUAAUUCUCGUUUUUAAAAGAAGGUUAUUUCACAAAGACAACCCCGCGGGCUGAGAGAGAAAUCAAAACUCUGAAAAUGAGCAGAGAGCGCCGUCUUUCUGCUCUCUUUUAUCUUCCUUAGCCCCUGAUUCCUAAUUCUGUUUCCUCUUUUCUCCUCUUCCUUCUGUCCUCAUAUCUCCGCUCGCCUCCAUCCCUGCCGGAGGUGUCAUCCUAAAUGCCAUGUGGAGAAUAAAGGAGGGGGGGUUAUAUUGUUUGCGCCUGUGGAGGCUUCCUUUUCGGCGAGGACGGCAGCGGAGUGACGGGCGGAGACAGGCGGCGCACACACACACGGAAAAAGACAGAUAUUUUAGUCGCCGCGGCUCCGGCGGUGACGAGCCUGACAACUACUUGUGUUCCAAACUGUGAGAGCGGGGCAGGCUGGAGGCUCCUUCGCCGCUCUGCGUCACAGCGCCUUGAUAAGAGCACAUCGAGAAAGGGCAGCUCUCAACCACAGCGCUUCAAAACGAGACUUAAUGGAGGUUCGACUCCGGUGCGAGCAGCAGGAAUACCACAAGUUGCGUGGCUGCCCUUUUCAACCACCCCGCCGGGUACACCGCUGAAGUCUUUCACCGCGCCGGCCGAGAGUGCUCUUUAAUAAGCCGCUCGCUCUGCGUCGUGAUUGUGUUAUGUGCACUUUUGUAAAUAUCAUGUGUGAUUUUUUAAAGUUCAGAAAACAGAAGUGGAUCUUCAGACUGUACGAGAAACUCUGUCCAGAUCAUCCUGCUCAGUUUGUGAAGGACUCGUAACGAUGGACAGAGCUGAUCUACACAAGAGCGAGUCAGAGCACGGCUGGGAUUUCACGCUGGACAUGAACCAGACCAGACCGUGGUUCAGUUUGGUUCAGACCAAACAGAGAAGUCCAUGACUUAGAGCCUGAACUACUAAAGAGUGCAAAAACACGUGCAAAGUCUGGACCAAAUGACUCACCAGGCGCCGAGGAUUGCGCCUGUCCUUGCGUUUAGCAUGUUUGCCUUCAUGAAUAUGCAGAUUGUUUGUAGAUCAUCAGACCGCCCAAAAUUCUAGAGGGAGCAGAUGAUAAUAGAAUCAUUUUUCACCUGUGAUGUGAUUUAAUAAAUCUGGAAACGAUUGCGGUCGCUGAUUUGCAUGAACAGUAUAUUUAGCACAUUUGAAAGGCGUGUGCAAAUUGGCACAGUGUUACACACAAAUGGCUGCAGUCAUUGCUGGGAGAAGGAGGCAAAAGUGCAAAAGUGUUUUUCUCGUAAAAAACAGUUUUGAUGUAUAAUUAGGUCAAACAUGGAAUAGUCACAAUAAUUGAUCUCUUUGUCUUAUUGAUUCUAAAUCGUUUGAAUCCAUACGAAUAAACUUCCCUCGCCUUUUAUGAGUUGCUGGCUUCCUCAAAAUGAUAAGUGCAACUCCGUGACUUCAAACUUCAUUUUUUUUUUAUCACUCUGCUCUCAAAACCCUCGUUUAAAGAGGGCAGUCCGCUCUACUUUUGCUACUGUUACCAACUGUGCAUGCAACAAUAGUAGAUCACCCGCAAAACGCCCACUAAUAGCAUGUGCACAUGUAAUUUAGCAUUCGCUAUUUUGGAUCUUCGUAGAUCAGGCCCUUAAUGUGAAAGACCCCUUAGCAAUUUGCUCCAAGCUGUAAUCAUGUUUAUUUGCUGCACACACGAACAUUUUACAGUGGGUGUUUAUGUGACUUAAGGGGCUUUUGAAACCAGCCCCCAGUGGACACUCAAGGAACUGCAGAUUUUAGACAGGGAAUGAGGUGACGAGUAAAAGUAAAAAAAAAGAAAAUUUUCUGAAGAUGAAGUUGGACCUCACUAUUAUCAGUUUUUGAGAGCACAGACUUUCUCGCCUGAGUCGGUGUUGCAGCAGCUCACAGGAUUACAAUCUUUCUUCUCCUGUUAACCUCGAUAAAGUUGUCGAAUAAUAACAUUUAUCGGACGAACUCGGACCAGCCUCAUUUACAACUCUUAAGUUGUCACUGUAGUUGAAAACCAACAAUAUUUGAAUAGUGGGAAUGACGUGUUGAUGUCAGACGCUGUUUAAAACCCGGAAACAUGUUCUGGGUCAUAUAACAGCCUGAUGCGUCUCCCUCCAAACUCCUUUAGAAACAUUCAGAGCCCAGCAGCUCCCUCAGAUCCAGACUCUCCUGCAGUAAAUCCAAACUGCAGGGACAAACUCUUUUUACCAAUUUCAAGACGUACUCUGUGGACAGACGGCUAAAGUAAGUCCUGUGUCUGGGUCACGGAGCGAAGACUAUAGACGAUAAAUUUUUCAAAUUAAUAGCAGUGGACUAUCAGCUGGAGUCUGCAGGCCGGCCGACUCCAUCAUACUGAGAGCAGCGGUGAGUUAUGGACUUCAGAUUAGUAAUGAACCCCAGAGCUCGGCGGUAAACAGGAUCCAGAGAGGGGAGGCUUUGAGAUGAUGCAUGAAGAUACAAAACAUCACUUUAGUUCAUCAGGGGCAUUAAUGAAGCUACAACAGAAACACAUGAUUAUUUCUGAAACAGGAGACCACUCAGUGUAUGACACUUAAAGAGUCAUCAGGUAGGAGCACCAGGUGAGACUCAAUCACAUGACCUCCGGACGGCAGGUUCAGAGUUCAGUUUUCUCAGGAUUCAAGAUCAAUUUAAACUCAUAAACAGGAUUUAAUUCGGCAUCAAAAGCUUCUUUAGAGCUGAAACAGAGCAGUAAAUUACUGUAUCAUCUGUGUACAAAUGGAAUUUUGCUUUGGAGACAUUUUGACUUCUAGUAUUGAUAUAAAUCAAAAACAGAAGACGUCCUAAACCUGAACCUUGAGGGACACCAUUAAUUCAUUCGAGAGGUCAAGAGGUGAUGAAGCGGUGGUUUUAAGGUCAUUACACACUUUUUCGCUAAUUUAUGAAGUGACAUGAAAAUACAAAACAUUCAGCUUAAACUUUUUCCUUUACACACCUGAUGCGACAAAAUUUGCAUAUUUGCAUAAAAAUAUGGUCUGUGGUGUGAAUUACAGUAAAACAGAGGGGGCGAGAGAAGAAGGAGAGAAAUGGCGACUACAUCCUCAGGUGAUGAUGACCUGGUCGUGGUUGUUAGACGAUUAAAUAAAAAGAAAAAUCAAAGUGUCUGAGUGAAUCUGAUACAGGAGGUGGGGAGCUCCACACGAUGAUCCAGGAACUCAAAUUGUAUCCUGAGAAAUUCUGCCAAUACUUGAUCAAUCCAGAGCAACGACUCGCCACGUUUCUGUGAUAAGAUUUAUAUUAAAUUUGACCAAGUUCACCUGAGAAAACUGCAAAUUUUGUAACAGGGGCAAAAAAAUUACAGUUGGCUUUUUUCGCUUUGUGGAAGUUCGUAGCCGGUGUGGCAGCUUAGACUGACUUCAUGAUAGGGUGACCAUACAUCCUCUUUUACCCGAACAUGGCCUCUUUUUAAAAAAAAAAUCCUUUAAAUGUCAAGUUUUGAGUUUGUGUCACUUGAACUAACUGAGACAGAAGUGCGUAAAAAACUCUCAAAACUGACGACACGUGACUCCAUGACUCCGCCCUGCGUAGUUGUGUCGGCUUUUUUGGCAUCCAGAAUAUAGUCGCCCUACUUUAUUACGUUUUUUUUAAAAAAGCGAAUUAUUUGCUUCACAAAUUCGCCCGCCGUGUAAUGACCUUUACUCUCUGUACGUUGCAACUUCUACUGGUCUCCCCUAAAUGCUAAAAAAAAAAACAAUACCAGAUCAUCUGAGUUACACUUUGGGCUCUUUAUCCAAUCAAAACAGCAGAAAUACUAGACAACACUUUACAGUUAUGAAUAUGAACCAUUUUUAAUGGAGUGAAGAGAGUCUGACUUCAUGUUUUAAACAGUGUGAACUCAUCAGACAUUCACUCAGUGACUCCAUUAUCCGUCUUCGCUGAGGCGACAUGAAUGGGUGAAACCUUCUGCAUUAACUCCUUUAAUCAUCAUGAGUCAUUUAUUAGCUCAGUGCUGCUUCAGUUUACUCCGUCUAUCCUCCGUGUGAAGUGUAAGCACUAUUUAAAUGUCUCCGUAUAAAGAGCGUGACUCACUCUUCCAGCAUCUGUUAGUGUUUAAGUUCGCGCCGCUACUCCUGCCCGUCUCUGUGAGCUCGAGAGCGAGCCCGCCAGAGAUCUGAGGUGUCACAAUGAGGUUGUCGAGACAGAUGAUGUAACCGUAGCGACACACGGAACUCACCUGCUCUGGGUUAAAAUCACGCAGGACAGAAAGGAGAUGGAGGGAUAAUGAAAAAAAACCUGUUAGGACAUGUUCUGGUCUUGACAGGAGCCUCCGGACGUCAGGGCCCCCCGAGCCGCUUCCACCGCCGCAGCAGCAGUUUAAAGAUAAGGAGUAAUGAACCUCGCCGCUGGUGCACUGAAGUUGCAAUUUUCAGCCAGUCAGUUCACGAUGGGAAAGGAUUGUGAAUUACACCACCAUUAUGAUUCUAAGGGUCGUCUCACCUGGGGAAAAUGAGCUGCUGAUCCAGCCUUAUUGCACUGCAGGUGUUAUUGCCUCCCUCGUCGAGUGUGAGACAACUUUGUGUCAUGGAAGUUGAGGAACAGGCGAAUAUAAGGUUAUGGUUAGAGUAAGAUUUGUGUGUGUGGAUGAAAACUUCCCCUUUUCAACGAGGAUAUAACUCAAGCAAACGCACUUCAGUUGUAAGUUUAUUUUCUCUCCUGCAACACAAAAGCCCCUGGGGACGUCUGGAUGUAUGCAGUCUGACAAUCCAUUGGCUAUUGUUUAGAAAUGAUACUGCUCCGAGGGUGACGGCCAAUUUCGGAGGCUUUUGGUGUUGGCAGGAGUAACUGGGGAAAGCUGAAAAGGAUUUCAAGGCCAGGGUUUCUUCUUGUGCGCACAGGCCAAAGUAGACACUGGAGGCUGAGUGUGGACUCGAGUCUGAGAGACUCUCAAAAGUACAAUCAGGUUAUCAGAUGUCUGCUAAUGGAGACUGAUAUAGAGAUGAGGAUUAUUACCCAAACAGUAAUGGCAUUUGGAGGUUUGUCUCUAUUAUCCUUUCAUUAUAAAAUAAUGUUUAUUGAUAAGUACACUACAAUGGCUCAGCUGUUGGUGUCUUGCACCCUAUGACCUGCCACUCUAACCCAAAGCCCCGCCCACAACACUGUCUGAUUGGCUGGAUAUCACCUGUGGACUAGUUCUUUGGGCGGAAGCUGCAAAGUUCCUGGUGAUGAAAAAAUUAGCCGACCCCGGGACCAGGAACAUGAACACUGACCUGCUGUCUCAGCUGGUACCUGUAGAUGAACGACAGUGUGUGUCAGUAAUACUGCAGUCACUUCCUAUUUUCACCUCUGGGAUAUUUGUUCACAGCGAUAAUCUGGAUUGACUCUUUUUUUCAGGUGCGCAGGAUCCUGGAAUGAAGCAGAUGGUGUUCGUUUCAGUGAAACAAGCCCAAUGUUCAUUAUUGUGUGAUGCCCAGAGGAGAGAUAUUUGCAUUGUUUGAUUUCACUCUUUUUAAUGACAUAUUGUUUAAAUCAAAGUCAAAUAGCCUUCAACCAAGUUUGGCUUAUGUAUAUAUAUAAUUUGUUGGUCUGUUUUUUUUUCUUUUUUUUUUUUCUUUUUAUCUUGAUAAUGAAUAAAUCUGCAUGUCUGUUUUGAAAAAAAUAUUGUUAGGUCAAGCAUGCUAUAAUUCAUACAUUCAUUUUUAUAUAAAAUAGUUUGUGCCUGUAUGUGACAUGAAAGAAGGACUGAAUCAAUGAAUAUAUGUAUGUUUAUAGGAAUAAAUGUAUGUAUAAAUACAUUUUUAUGUUUGUAUGUUGUAUUCAUAUAUGUAUGUAUCAAAGAAGAUAAAUUUCUGUAUGUAUGAAUGAAACUAUAAAGAUUAUAUGUUUGUGUUUUGGUUUACAUGUAUGAAAAUAUGCAUGUACAUAAAUGAAAACUGUAUGUCUGUAGAAAUGUUUGUUUGAGUGUAUAGAUGUAUACCUAAAUGUAUGUUUGGAUGAAUGCAUGUGAAUCAGUAUGUAAAAAUAAUAUAAGAAUAAUAUAUGUAUGAAUAAAUAAAAAGAUGUGUUGUGCAAGAAGUAUUUAUGAACUAUACUAUAUAGUUCAUAGUAUAAUAUCAUUAAAAAUAUCAUGGUAUAGUAUAAUUAAAAUGUCAUAGUACAGUAUGAAAAAAAUUUCACAUCCUUGAAUGAAAAAAUAGGUCAAAGUAUUGUAUGAUAAAAAUAUCAUAGUAGUGUAUGACAAAAAUGUCAGAGAAUAGUUUAAUAAAAAAUAUAAUUAAGUAUGAAAAAAAAGGAUGGUAUAAAAAUAUAUCAUCGUAAAGUAUAAAAAAGUCAUAGUAUUGUAUGAUUAAAAUAUAAUAAAAAAGGAUGAUAUUACUUAUUAGUUGAAAAAAUUUCAUGGUUUACAAUAAUUUAUUUAAUUUUAGAAUGAAAAGUAUUGUAGUACAGUAUAAUAAAUAUAUUUCAUUUCUGUAGAAAAAAUGUUAUUGUUCUGCAUAAUUUAAAUAUCAGUAAUGUAUGAAAAAACAUCAUAGUAUAGUAUGAUAAUAAUAUAAUACGGAAUAAAAAGAAGUCAUAGUCUUGUAUUAGAAAAAUUUAAGUGUGAACAAAAUUCAAAGUUUAGUAUAAGAAAAAAAUAUCAUAGUACAGUAUGACAAAAAUAUCAUAGUAGAGUAUGAUUAAUAUCCCAAUCUAUCCC